This is a long non-coding RNA of Bos taurus (domestic cattle), 1747 nucleotides long. Lineage: Eukaryota; Metazoa; Chordata; Mammalia; Artiodactyla; Bovidae. The record is from Ensembl.
UGCUGUUCUUGGAGUAGCUCUGAGUUUGUAAAAUGGGUGCAAGAGCAGACGUGAUUGCUAAGAAUAUAGCAAUGACCUCUAUGUAAAAUUUAUAGGCCUGGAACACACUGUGCAGAGGCUUUUGAUCAAGAUCUUUGAAAGUAUUGCAUGCAUACACUUCAAGUAAAAAAUCACCCUAAUUAUUUUAUUCUUCACGCAAAGGAUCUUUGUGAGUAAUUGGAAACUCUUUAAUGAGCUUUGAUUUAUAACACUGUUUUUAAUUUGAAACUUUAGAUUAUCAUAAUCCUAGUGGUUGUCAAAAUAAGGACUAUGAUUGAUCUAGCAUAAAUGCCAAGUUCGUGCCAUUUCCAGGUGUGACAGAGAGGAGGGUGUGGAAAGCAGUAUUUGCUGAGCGCUGCCUGUGUGCCAGGCUCUCUGCUUGGGACGCUUUACUGUCACCUCAAAACAGCCCUGAAAGGCCUCUGUAUUUUAUCAGUGCGAAAAACUAAUGUUUAGAAAGUUUACACAGUUCUGCACCUGGUAAAAGCUAGAGCCCCAGAUCCAUUUCCUGGUCUAUCCUUUCUCACCACUGUUCUACACUGCCACUGAGCUGACGAGCCAGCCAGGUGAGGGCUUCUCAGAGGAAGCCAUGUUGGAGCUGUGCCCCAGAACCUGAGUAAGGGGACUCCAGUUGAAUGAGGAGAGGAAGGGCAUUUCAGGCAAAAGAAAGGAGGUAUGGGAGAGUGUGACAGCCACAGAGAACUAAAAAUAGCUGCCCAGGCCUAGAACACAGUGUGUGUUUAUGAGGCUUGUAGGAGAGAGCCAGUCGUGAAGGUAGGGGAUCCCACAGGGCCACCAAUGCCAGGUGAUGCCAGGUGCUGCCACACACCUGUAGGAACUGGAAUGACUUCUCCCCAAAUUACCAGUGACCAAAGAAAGUAACUGUUGAUUUAUCAGAGAAAGCAAGGGUGGGAUAACAAAUUUUUCCUGAGAUGACUUCUUAGCUUCUUGCCAACUUUUCAGCUCUGAUUCCUCAUAGUCAACAUUCCACAAAUGUUACUGACAUCGUCCACUUGGCCCAGAGAAUGGAAAAGACACUAAAGAAUGGAAAAGAUUCUUGCCUUCUAGAGGCUGGUGGCAUCAUUUCAUGUACAUCUGAAUCCAUCUUCCUUAACCAAAGUUGUAGAAGAAAGGCACUUUAAUAAAUCUGAUAAAAUUGACUAUGAAAAUAAUUUAAUGAAUUUGAAUAAAUAGACUCCAUGAAAAUAGACUGCAGAUCUUGCUAGUGUAUUAUUGAACCACUAAUACCCAGCACAUAGUAGUUUCCUAAACAACUCUCUUUAACAAACAGAAUUUGAAAACUCCUACAAAAUUGCUAAAAAAUGUUUUGGUCUUUCAUAAGAUUUAUAAAUUUUUCCAUAUAUAUUAAUAUACUCAGAAACCUUUUCUUGUACAGUAGUUUUAAAAUGUGCUCUUCAAGGAAGUGAAGGCAGGGGAUAUUCCAAGGAAGGUAUACAUAUCACAAAAAUAUUUGUAUUAGCUGAUAACUGUACCAGGUCAUUUUGUCAAUUGCCAUUAACAUGGCAAUAGUUUGUUUGACUUUUAAAACUGUCUGCUAUAUUGGGAUGUCACUAUAAUUGUGAUGUUUUAGCAUAAUGCUUUUCUUUAUCUUCUUUUUAUUGAUCUUUAAGUUUUAUAUAUAUUUUAACUAGUAAUAAUUUUAUAAUGAUCUGAGGCUCUUAAAAAAGGGUUCAUUUUUUCUACUGAG